RNAcentral lists this ribosomal RNA (744 nucleotides) under uncultured bacterium. RNAcentral describes it as "bacterial SSU rRNA". It matches the Rfam family "Bacterial small subunit ribosomal RNA", at positions 8 to 796 of the family's 1533-position model. The record is from RNAcentral.
AGAGUUUGAUCCUGGCUCAGAAUGAACGCUGGCGGCAGGCCUAACACAUGCAAGUCGAACGGGUGCCUUCGGGUGCUAGUGGCGGACGGGUGAGUAACGCGUGGGAACAUACCCUUUGGUACGGAAUAGCCUCGGGAAACUGAGAGUAAUACCGUAUGUGCCCUUCGGGGGAAAGAUUUAUCGCCAAAGGAUUGGCCCGCGUUGGAUUAGGUAGUUGGUGGGGUAAUGGCCUACCAAGCCGACGAUCCAUAGCUGGUUUGAGAGGAUGAUCAGCCACACUGGGACUGAGACACGGCCCAGACUCCUACGGGAGGCAGCAGUGGGGAAUCUUAGACAAUGGGGGAAACCCUGAUCUAGCCAUGCCGCGUGAUCGAUGAAGGCCUUAGGGUUGUAAAGAUCUUUCAGAUGGGAAGAUAAUGACGGUACCAUCAGAAGAAGCCCCAGCUAACUCCGUGCCAGCAGCCGCGGUAAUACGGAGGGGGCUAGCGUUGUUCGGAAUUACUGGGCGUAAAGGGCGCGUAGGCGGCCGAUUAAGUUAGAUGUGAAAGUCCUGGGCUCAACCUGGGGACUGCAUUUAAUACUGGUUGGCUUGAAUUCGGGAGAGGAUAGCGGAAUUCCCAGUGUAGAGGUGAAAUUCGUAGAUAUUGGGAAGAACACCGGUGGCGAAGGCGGCUAUCUGGACCGACAUUGACGCUGAGGCGCGAAAGCGUGGGGAGCAAACAGGAUUAGAUACCCUGGUAGUCC